GACGAACGCUGGCGGCGUGCCUAAUACAUGCAAGUCGAGCGGACAAAAGGGAGCUUGCUCCCAGAGGUUAGCGGCGGACGGGUGAGUAACACGUGGGUAACCUGCCCUAAAGUGGGGGAUAACAUUUGGAAACAGAUGCUAAUACCGCAUAAAUCUUGGAACCUCAUGGUUCCAAGCUGAAAGAUGGCGUAAGCUAUCGCUUUUGGAUGGACCCGCGGCGUAUUAGCUAGUUGGUGAGGUAAAGGCUCACCAAGGCGAUGAUACGUAGCCGACCUGAGAGGGUGAUCGGCCACAUUGGGACUGAGACACGGCCCAAACUCCUACGGGAGGCAGCAGUAGGGAAUCUUCCACAAUGGACGAAAGUCUGAUGGAGCAACGCCGCGUGAGUGAAGAAGGUUUUCGGAUCGUAAAACUCUGUUGUUGGAGAAGAACGUACGUGAGAGUAACUGUUCACGUAGUGACGGUAUCCAACCAGAAAGCCACGGCUAACUACGUGCCAGCAGCCGCCGUAACAC
Molecule: ribosomal RNA, 515 nt
Filed under: uncultured bacterium
Lineage: Bacteria
Description: bacterial SSU rRNA
Rfam family: Bacterial small subunit ribosomal RNA
Source: RNAcentral